UCCACACUGCAUCGGUCCAAAUGGUGCCGUGAGGUCACCAAUCGUCACCUGGAUCUCAAGUGGGACCAUGAUCCAGCAGUCGAUAGCGACCUCAAGGGGGAACCGCUCCGAGGAUCGGGACUGUGAGACCAGUGCCGCGAGUCUAACCGGUGCCGUGAGUCAGACUGGUACCUAUGGCAGUGCCGGGAGUCUGAGCGGCGUGGAGAUGCUGGUCUGAGGGCUGCCAUUCCGAACAUCGCCGGUUUACCCUUGGACAGUACCAGGACUCGGGUUGGGGCUGGUGCUGGGGCUGGAGGCUCCGGAGCCAUCAUUUUGAUGAGCCCUCUGGCAGCCUCGGAGGUAUCCAGUGUGGAAGAUUCCCAAACCUGAUCGACUUAGAAAAAUAUCCUUGAGUCUAGUAGACAAAUUUACCAAAGAAUCCUGAAAGCAAGAAUCUGCUGUUGCUAAGUGCCGAUGGGAAAGGCAGUGCCACCCAACUAGUUUUUAGGGGUUAAUCCUUACUAAUAUGGUAUGGAUGAAGGUUAUUUUGAGGAGAAGCAUGGCGGUACUCAAACAACUGUACAGUACAGCUCUACAAAGCAUCUUACAUAGGAACAUACUUCAUAUUCAGUAUUUCUUCUUGAUCAUCCUACGUUGCUGCUGAUUGUUUCUGGAUGUGACAGCAUGACUAUUUUAUUAUAAAUGCUCUGUUAUCCUAUAUUGAAGAAAGUGUCAAAGCAUAUUUUGCUCAAAGGGAAACACUCAGUACAGACUCUAGCCAAGGAGUGUGGAGCCUAGGAUUUUAAGUGUAUAUCAUGAACCAGGAUUCUAGUUUACUGAGUAAAGAUUUUUUCAGGGGUCCAAGAACAGCUCUGCCCAUUUGCCCAUAACAAGCUCAUGUUUCCAUCUGGAUUCCCAAUUUUCAGUCCACCUACCUGAGUAAGAAGGAGCAAGGGAAAAGGCGAUGGUCACAAUAAACAUGACUGAGUGAAUACAUUCAAGGACAAACUAAAGAAGUUUAGCCACUACAUUUUUUCCUGAAUGAAGAUAUUUUUAGGAUGAUUAUAUUUUACAAUAUAUAUGCAGACUUGCUAAUUGUUUCAGUUACAAGAAAUACUACAAACCAUACCCUUUGCCCACAAAGAAAAAGAAACUACAUAUAUUGAAGGAUUCC
Long non-coding RNA from Mauremys reevesii (Reeves's turtle), 1153 nucleotides. RefSeq lists it as uncharacterized. The transcript is spliced from 6 exons. Lineage: Eukaryota; Metazoa; Chordata; Testudines; Geoemydidae. The record is from RefSeq and is a predicted model, not a curated record.